Molecule: ribosomal RNA, 153 nt
Filed under: uncultured bacterium
Lineage: Bacteria
Description: partial 16S ribosomal RNA
Rfam family: Bacterial small subunit ribosomal RNA
Source: RNAcentral
CCUACGGGAGGCAGCAGUAGGGAAUUUUCCACAAUGGGCGAAAGCCUGAUGGAGCAACGCCGCGUGCAGGAUGAAGGCCUUCGGGUUGUAAACUGCUUUUCUCUGUGAAGAUUAUGACGGUAGCAGAGGAAUAAGGAUCGGCUAACUACGUGC